This 253-nucleotide ribosomal RNA is filed under the name uncultured bacterium. RNAcentral describes it as "partial 16S ribosomal RNA". It matches the Rfam family "Bacterial small subunit ribosomal RNA", at positions 524 to 776 of the family's 1533-position model. The record is from RNAcentral.
UACGUAGGUGACCAGCGUUGUCCGGAUUUACUGGGCGUAAAGAGCGCGCAGGCGGUCGUUCAAGUCGAGUGUGAAAGCCCCCGGCUCAACUGGGGAGGGUCAUUCGAUACUGAUCGACUGGAAGGCAGGAGAGGGAAGCGGAAUUCCCGGUGUAGUGGUGGAAUGCGUAGAUAUCGGAAGGAACACCAGUGGCGAAAGCGGCUUCCUGGUCCAGCACCGACGUUCAGGCACGAAAGCGUGGGGAGCAAACAGG